This 467-nucleotide ribosomal RNA is filed under the name uncultured bacterium. RNAcentral describes it as "partial 16S ribosomal RNA". It matches the Rfam family "Bacterial small subunit ribosomal RNA", at positions 28 to 506 of the family's 1533-position model. The record is from RNAcentral.
GACGAACGCUGGCGGCGUGCUUAACACAUGCAAGUCGAACGGAAAGGCCCUGCUUUUGUGGGGUGCUCGAGUGGCGAACGGGUGAGUAACACGUGAGUAACCUGCCCUUGACUUUGGGAUAACUUCAGGAAACUGGGGCUAAUACCGGAUAGGAGCUCCUGCUGCAUGGUGGGGGUUGGAAAGUUUCGGCGGUUGGGGAUGGACUCGCGGCUUAUCAGCUUGUUGGUGGGGUAGUGGCUUACCAAGGCUUUGACGGGUAGCCGGCCUGAGAGGGUGACCGGCCACAUUGGGACUGAGAUACGGCCCAGACUCCUACGGGAGGCAGCAGUGAGGAAUAUUGCACAAUGGGCGGAAGCCUGAUGCAGCAACGCCGCGUGCGGGAUGACGGCCUUCGGGUUGUAAACCGCUUUCGCCUGUGACGAAGCGUGAGUGACGGUAAUGGGUAAAGAAGCACCGGCUAACUACGU